Molecule: ribosomal RNA, 921 nt
Filed under: Yersinia sp. QQ14
Lineage: Bacteria; Pseudomonadati; Pseudomonadota; Gammaproteobacteria; Enterobacterales; Yersiniaceae
Description: bacterial SSU rRNA
Rfam family: Bacterial small subunit ribosomal RNA
Source: RNAcentral
GGGGGAUCGGUAUCGGAAUACUGGGCGUAAGCGCGCGCAGGCGGUCUGUUAAGUCGGAUGUGAAAUCCCCGGGCUCAACCUGGGAACUGCAUCCGAAACUGGCAGGCUUGAGUCUUGUAGAGGGUGGUAGAAUUCCAUGUGUAGCGGUGAAAUGCGUAGAGAUCUGGAGGAAUACCGGUGGCGAAGGCGGCCCCCUGGACUGAUACUGACGCUCAGGUGCGAAAGCGUGGGGAGCAAACAGGAUUAGAUACCCUGGUAGUCCACGCCGUAAACGAUGUCGACUUGCAGGUUGUGCCCUUGAGGCGUGGCUGCCGGAGCUAACGCGUUAAGUCGACCGCCUGGGGAGUACGGCCGCAAGGUUAAAACUCAAAUGAAUUGACGGGGGCCCGCACAAGCGGUGGAGCAUGUGGUUUAAUUCGAUGCAACGCGAAGAACCUUACCUGGUCUUGACAUCCACAGAACUUUCCAGAGAUGGAUUGGUGCCUUCGGGAACUGUGAGACAGGUGCUGCAUGGCUGUCGUCAGCUCGUGUUGUGAAAUGUUGGGUUAAGUCCCGCAACGAGCGCAACCCUUAUCCUUUGUUGCCAGCGGUUCGGGCGGGAACUUCUAGGAAACUGGCAGUGAUCAACUGGAAGAAGGUGGGGAUGACCUCCAGUCAUCCUGGGCCUUACCACCAGGGCUACCCACGUGCUACCAUGGCUCAUACCAAGAGAAUCCAACUCGCCAGAGCGAGCCUACCUCCUAAAGUGCGACCUAAUCCGGAUUGGAGUCUGGAACUUCACUUCAUGAAAUCCGAAUCCCUAGUAAUCCUGGAUCAGAAUGGCACCGUGAAUUCCUUCCCCGGCCUUGGACACCACGGCCGUUCAACCAUGGGGAAUGGGGUUGCAUCCGAAGUUAGUUGCUCUACCUUCGGGAGGGCGCU